AACGAACGCUGGCGGCAUGCCUAACACAUGCAAGUCGAACGAGGCCCUUCGGGGUUUAGUGGCGCACGGGUGCGUAACGCGUGGGAAUCUGCCCUUUGGUUCGGAAUAACAGCUGGAAACGGCUGCUAAUACCGGAUGAUGACGAAAGUCCAAAGAUUUAUCGCCAGAGGAUGAGCCCGCGUUGGAUUAGGUAGUUGGUGGGGUAAAGGCCUACCAGGCCGACGAUCCAUAGCUGGUCUGAGAGGAUGAUCAGCCACACUGGGACUGAGACACGGCCCAGACUCCUACGGGAGGCAGCAGUGGGGAAUAUUGGACAAUGGGCGCAAGCCUGAUCCAGCAAUGCCGCGUGAGUGAUGAAGGCCCUAGGGUUGUAAAGCUCUUUUACCCGGGAAGAUAAUGACUGUACCGGGAGAAUAAGCCCCGGCUAACUCCGUG
RNAcentral lists this ribosomal RNA (435 nucleotides) under uncultured bacterium. Its description in RNAcentral is "bacterial SSU rRNA". It matches the Rfam family "Bacterial small subunit ribosomal RNA", at positions 29 to 507 of the family's 1533-position model. The record is from RNAcentral.